UGUAUAUGGACGGUUUACAUACUGAAUCAUACAGAUACAGUUGUUAACAUUGCGAUAUAGAUAAACCUAUUUAUAAAUAAUUAAAUAUGCUUCGCCAUACAUAAGCUAUUGUAUUAUGUUAUGUAAUAAUUUGAUCAAGGGUCAUAUUGGCCUAUUUCAAAUAUGUAGUGUGUUGUAUGUUGCUUUUGAAUAAACUUUCUUCUUCUUCAUACUUAAAAAGUGGUACGUUUAAGUCCGCUGCAAAUAGAUCGCGUAGUAAUCUUAUUUAGUAGUUAAAAUUUAUGACUUAACUCUUGGGAAUCGUAAUUAUGUUUGCAAUAAUACACUUCACUGGCAAUCAAUUUAAACUGAGAGCAAUGAAUAGAACUCUUAAACACUACAUUUAAUUAAUGCUUUUAUUUAAAAAAAUACGGACUACUUCAACAGAUGUACCGGCAUACAUCCGAGGUUGUUUUUGAAAAAAUGGCCGAGGAGCUCCGAAUGCACAACAAUAAUGAAAUGAGAAGAGUAUGGUACCAGGGGUGCAGCUGACUCUGAUUCCCGGCUUGUUCUAAUGAAAAAAGGCAGAUAAGGCACUGGAAUCCGAAUAUGCCAUUGUAUGAGGAUUGACCUGCAAUGCAUGGAAAUCAUCUAACACAACUGCAACGCCUACCUUGGAAAAAUGAGUGCAUGAUGGAAACAAAGCAUUCAGUGGAACAUCUUGUCAUCUCAAAUAUUUGAUGACUUACAUACUGAUGUGAAGUUGAAGAUAAAAGUCAUCUGUAGGUCCGUGAUUAUUAAAUAAAUCUGAACAUAUAUUUAAAAGGGUUAUAUGGUAAAGGAUUUAUCUACGCUUAAAGUGGUUUUCCUAUAUUAUGGAGGUAAGAUAACUACAAAAACAGAAACAGAUGGCAUCGGCAGACCAAAUAAAGGAGAACUAUUUUGUUCAGUUCAAUUUUUAAGACUUCAGAAAAUCCGUUAAUAGGGCACAUCCAUGCAAAUGCCAUAUUGUAAACUGGGCUCUUUAAAAUGUGAAAAGGUGAAAGUGGUCUAGAGGAUAAGCCUCAGAUUCAAGGUUGUGAGUUCAAGACCUCCAAGAUACUUUCUCUUGACCUCAGGAAAAGGAUGUCCAUACUUGUUUCUACUUAGGCAACAGACUUAAGAGUGAUUCUGUAAGCUUCCAGCUUGCAUAGCAAUCUGAUAAGGCAUAAAAUAAGAUACUAGCUGACUUGCAAAAUAUAUACUAGCUGACUUGCAAACAGUUUUUCCAUUUGUGUUGAUUUAUUUUUCAGUCUGUUGGAAUGUUUAUUAUGUAAGUGAUGCGCAUUGCUUACUGCAACCAAUAUUUAUUUUCUUUAUUAAGUUAAAUUUAGCGAACACAUAACAUGACUUGUGAUUUUACAGAUGCAUGUUUAUUUUGUUGAUUGUAUGAGUUUAUUUUCUCAAAUGAUGUAAUAAAAG
Molecule: long non-coding RNA, 1440 nt
Organism: Mya arenaria
Lineage: Eukaryota; Metazoa; Mollusca; Bivalvia; Myida; Myidae
Exons: 3
Source: RefSeq, a predicted model, not a curated record